RNAcentral lists this RNase P RNA (281 nucleotides) under Candidatus Methanovirga aequatorialis. RNAcentral describes it as "RNase P RNA component". It matches the Rfam family "Archaeal RNase P". Rfam says of the family: Ribonuclease P (RNase P) is a ubiquitous endoribonuclease, found in archaea, bacteria and eukarya as well as chloroplasts and mitochondria. Its best characterised activity is the generation of mature 5'-ends of tRNAs by cleaving the 5'-leader elements of precursor-tRNAs. Lineage: Archaea; Methanobacteriati; Methanobacteriota; Methanobacteria; Methanobacteriales; Methanobacteriaceae. The record is from RNAcentral.
GUAAGCCGAAGACAGCUACUGGUUAUUUGUUAACUUAGGAAACUCUAUCCACCAUAGAAACUAUAAUGUUGGAAAACAUAUGCUGAGAAGCAUGACACUGGAGCAGAAACGAAACGUCUUUUAAUGAAUGAUAAUGAUGCAAUAGCUGAUAGACAUUAAAAGGAGCGGUGAAACGGCCAAUCUAUAGGGUGCAAGAACAAAUGUGCUGAUGACAACUCUCGAGGCAAGGUAGUUCGCAAAGAUGAAUGCUGUUAAACAGAAGAUGGGUUAUCUCGGUAUAC